GAAGAGUGUUUGAUAGGGAAUGAAAGACCCGCUUGACUUAAGCAUAUCAAUAAGCGGAGGAAAAGGAAUCCAAGGAGACCGUCUUAGUAAUAGCGAAUGACAAGACGGUAGCUCUAGGCUGAGUCUCUCUGUAAGAGGGACUGUGAGGCGCAAGCAAGCGGGUAGUCUAGGCUUCCCAUGGCAAGGUCUCUCGUGAAUGUGGUUCGUUCAUAGGAAAGGUGAAGGACCAAGAGAGCUGGGAAGGUCUAGGCACGCCCGCUUGAGAGUGGAGUAGGAAUAUUUGGAAUUGUAUUCUGAAGCUUGAGGUAAACCAUUCACAAAGCUAAAGACUGGCGGCAAGGCCAAUAGCAAACAAGUACCGUGAGGGAAAGUUGAAAAGAACUUUGAAGAGAGAGUCAAAAGUAUGUGAAAUUGUCCUUUGACAAACGGUGUAAGGGUCUCAAGCUGGUAUUCCUUGUGUUCAUAGGAAGGUGAACCUGGGUACCAGUUAGAGUCAACCUUGAAGGAGAAGGAAGGAGGUGCAUUAGACGGGAGAGCUAGCACUUCAGUUGUGUGUAGAGGGCGGCAUAGCGAGCGCUAAAGCACUCGUUGUUGAAAAGUAAAGACGGUGACAUCGACCCGUCUUGAAACACGGAUCAAGGAGUUUAACAGGCGGACAAAUAGAACCCAAGUAGAGGGUUGGUGUGAAGGGAAGUCAAGUGGGAAACCAAGGCAUGUGGUUUCGUUGAAGGCUUGCUAUAGUAGUAGCGGCAAAGUCAGAUUGAGUGAAUCUGUUAAGACCCGAAAGAUGGUGAACUAUGCUUGAUCAGGGUGAAGCCAGGUGAAAGCCUGGUGGAGGCCCGUAGCAAUUCUGACGUGCAAAUCGAUUGUCAGAGUCGAGUAUAGGGGCGAAAGACUAAUCGAACUAUCUAGUAGCUGGUUCCAGUCGAAGUUUCCCUAAGGAUAGCUGUAAUUCACAAGGAUAGUUUCAUCUGGUAAAGCAAAUGACUAGGAGGAAUGGGAUUGGAACGAUCUCAACUCAUUCUCAAACUAUAAAUGGAUGAGAAUAGCUUGGCGCUUAAGUAGAAGGCCUUGCUAAAGUUGGAAGGAAUAUGAAAGGACGUGUGGGCCAUUCUUGGUAAGCAGGACUGGCGCUGUGGGAUGAUCCAAACGCAGAGUUAAAGUAACAAAGUCAUAGUUCAUAAGAUACCACAAAAGGUGUUGGUUUCUUAAGACAGCAGGACGGUGACCAUGGAAGUUGGGACCCGCUAAGGAGUGUGUAACAACUCACCUGUCGAAGAAAGCAGUCCUGAAAAUGGAUGUUGCUAAAACUAUAGAAGGACUUAUACUCCAGCUGUGCCUAGAGGUUGGCUAGGCACAAGUAGGCUGGUAAUAACGUGGCAAGAAAGGGCCAGUUAAAGUAAAGUCGGGAGCAACGUUGUGUGCAGAUCUUGGUGGAAGUAGCGAAUAAUCCAAGGAGGGAUUGGAUAGUCGAAGUGGAGAAAGGUUUCGUGUGAACAGUAGUUGAACGCGAGUCAGGCGGUUCUAAUCUAAAGUUGAAGUAUGUACAAGGCACAGGCAAGUGCAAGCGGAGAAAGGGAAACUUGUUAGAGUUCAAGUUCCUAUACCAGUCUCAUCCUAGCAUAUAGGCCUGGGUAACCAGGAAAGUGGAUUGGGAUUCCUUCUAACCCCAGAGAGAGAGUUGUCUUUUCUAUAUAAGCGAAAGGUCACCUUGAAACACUGUCAGAGUGAGUAAAGGUAACCCUAGCUAAGAACACGUCCGUUCAAGACGUGUCUCUGGUGGAAGCUGGACCUUGAAAACCAAUCUUAAGGCUAUGGUUGAACUGGUGUAGGCCGUACUCAUAUCCGCAGCAGGUCUCCAAGGUUAAGAACCUCUGACCAAUAGAAUAAUGUAGGUAAGGGAAGUCGGCAAAAUGGUUCUGUAACUUUGGGAGAAAGAAUGGCUCUGAAGGCUAAGCUAGUCGGGUUUAGCGUGGAAGUGCCCUUGGAUUGGAAGGACUGGAUGUGGUUCGGACCUUUAAUCUUGAAGGCAUGGAAGCGCUAGGCUUCAUAUACUUACGUAUAUACGUCUAGCUAUCAAUAGCUUGAUCAGAACUGACACGAGCAGGGGGAAUCCGACUGUUUAAUUAAAACAAAGCAUCGAGAUAGUCAAAGGGUGACAUUGACUCGAUGUGAUUUCUGCCCAGUGCUCUGAAUGUCAAAUGGAAGAGGUCCCAUUAAGCGCGGGUAAACGGCGGGAGUAACUAUGACUCUCUUAAGGUAGCCAAAUGCCUCGUCAGAUAACUACUGACGCGCAUGAACGGAUUAACGAGAUUCCCACUGUCCCUAUCUACCAUCUAGCGAACCCGCAGUCAAGGGAACGGACUUGUGGAUAUUAGCGGGGAAAGAAGACCCUGUUGAGCUUGACUCUAGUUUCGCUUGGUGGAGAGGAAUACUUGAAGUAGGAUAGAGAGGAGGUGUAAAAGCCAGUCUUGAAAUACUCUCACACGUAUGUCUUCUCUGCUUAAGAAGUCGGAAGGGAAAGACAGCUUGGCUUAAUGCCUUGCUUCAGUUGUAGAAGGAAGUUGAAAGGGCAACCCUAACCUCAGAGAGAGUGAGGCAGGGAGUUUGACUGGGGCGGUACAUCUGUCAAACGAUAACGCAGGUGUCCUAAGGUUGGCUCCUCAAGGAAAGAAACCUUGAAUAGAGUAGAAGGGCACAAGCCAGCUUGAGUUCUCCUUUCAGUACAAGGAGAACCUUGGAAACAACGGCCUAUCGAUCCUCUUUAAUUCGUGGUUUGAAGGAAGAGGUGACAGAAAAGUUACCACAGGGAUAACUGGCUUGUGGCUGCCAAGCGUUCAUAGCGACGUAGCUUUUUGAUCCUUCGAUGUCGGCUCUUCCUAUCAUUUUGAAGCAGAAUUCAGAAAGUGUCGGAUUGUUCACCCGUCAAAAGGGAACGUGAGCUGGGUUUAGACCGUCGUGAGACAGGUUAGUUUUACCCUACUAAUAGGGAGGACUAGUCUUGAGUAAGGCUCUUUAGUACGAGAGGAACCAGAGCCUGGUACCGCUGGUGUUUCUGUUGUUUGACUUGUCAGAGCAGAUGCGCUAAGUACUUUGGUUAAUAGCUGAACGCCUCUAAGCUAGAGACCAGUCUUGAGA
RNAcentral lists this ribosomal RNA (3138 nucleotides) under Acartia tonsa. Its description in RNAcentral is "eukaryotic LSU rRNA". It matches the Rfam family "Eukaryotic large subunit ribosomal RNA". Lineage: Eukaryota; Metazoa; Arthropoda; Copepoda; Calanoida; Acartiidae. The record is from RNAcentral.